This 635-nucleotide ribosomal RNA is filed under the name Trichoderma pleuroticola. RNAcentral describes it as "eukaryotic LSU rRNA". The stretch from base 256 to 409 matches the Rfam family "5.8S ribosomal RNA". Lineage: Eukaryota; Fungi; Ascomycota; Sordariomycetes; Hypocreales; Hypocreaceae. The record is from RNAcentral.
GGAAGUAAAAGUCGUAACAAGGUCUCCGUUGGUGAACCAGCGGAGGGAUCAUUACCGAGUUUACAACUCCCAAACCCAAUGUGAACGUUACCAAACUGUUGCCUCGGCGGGAUCUCUGCCCCGGGUGCGUCGCAGCCCCGGACCAAGGCGCCCGCCGGAGGACCAACCAAAACUCUUAUUGUAUACCCCCUCGCGGGUUUUUUUAUAAUCUGAGCCUUCUCGGCGCCCCUCGUGGGCGUUUCGAAAAUGAAUCAAAACUUUCAACAACGGAUCUCUUGGUUCUGGCAUCGAUGAAGAACGCAGCGAAAUGCGAUAAGUAAUGUGAAUUGCAGAAUUCAGUGAAUCAUCGAAUCUUUGAACGCACAUUGCGCCCGCCAGUAUUCUGGCGGGCAUGCCUGUCCGAGCGUCAUUUCAACCCUCGAACCCCUCCGGGGGGUCGGCGUUGGGGAUCGGCCCUCCCUCUGCGGGGGCCGUCUCCGAAAUCCAGUGGCGGUCUCGCCGCAGCCUCUCCUGCGCAGUAGUUUGCACACUCGCACCGGGAGCGCGGCGCGUCCACAGCCGUUAAACACCCAACUUUCUGAAAUGUUGACCUCGGAUCAGGUAGGAAUACCCGCUGGACUUAAGCAUAUCAAUGG